Molecule: non-coding RNA, 99 nt
Filed under: Sinorhizobium meliloti GR4
Lineage: Bacteria; Pseudomonadati; Pseudomonadota; Alphaproteobacteria; Hyphomicrobiales; Rhizobiaceae
Source: RNAcentral
GAGAGCCGGAUGCGUAACGAAAGGCGCAUGUCCGGUUCGGCGAGAGGCGAUGUGAAACCUGCCGUCGCAAGGCGGUAAGGCGCACAUCGCCUACUCUAC